This 450-nucleotide ribosomal RNA is filed under the name uncultured Glomus. RNAcentral's name for it is "SSU rRNA". It matches the Rfam family "Eukaryotic small subunit ribosomal RNA", at positions 569 to 1025 of the family's 1831-position model. Lineage: Eukaryota; Fungi; Glomeromycota; Glomeromycetes; Glomerales; Glomeraceae. The record is from RNAcentral.
AGCAGCCGCGGUAAUUCCAGCUCCAAUAGCGUAUAUUAAAGUUGUUGCAGUUAAAAAGCUCGUAGUUGAACUUCGAGAUCAAAUUGUUGGUCGUGCCUCGGUACGUACUGGCAUUAUUGAUUUCUCCUUUCUGAAGAACCUUGAUGUCAUUAAUUUGGUGUCUUGGGGAAUCAGGACCGUUACUUUGAAAAAUUAGAGUGUUUAAAGCAGGCUCACGCUUGAAUACAUUAGCAUGGAAUAAUGAAAUAGGACGUUUGAUUCUAUUUUGUUGGUUUCUAGGAUCGACGUAAUGAUUAAUAGGGAUAGUUGGGGGCAUUAGUAUUCAAUUGUCAGAGGUGAAAUUCUUGGAUUUAUUGAAGACUAACUACUGCGAAAGCAUUUGCCAAGGAUGUUUUCAUUAAUCAAGAACGAAAGUUAGGGGAUCGAAGACGAUCAGAUACCGUCGUAGUC